GCAAACUUGGUCAUUUAGAGGAAGUAAAAGUCGUAACAAGGUUUCCGUAGGUGAACCUGCGGAAGGAUCAUUAAUGAGUUGUAACGGGGUUUGAUGCUGGCAUCCAAUUUUUGGAUGUAUGUGCUCGCCCCAACAAUAUCUUCCAAACACCUGUGCACACAAUUUUUGAGGGAGGUUUCGAGUUGAUUGCCUCUUAUUGGUAAUUUCCUUGCACUCUCUUGAAUCUCAUUACACGCCGUUAAUAAUGCUGAACGUGCUUUGUGCCGCAAGGCCUUAACAUAUAAUACAACUUUUAACAACGGAUCUCUUGGCUCUCGCAUCGAUGAAGAACGCAGC
This 336-nucleotide unclassified non-coding RNA is filed under the name uncultured fungus. RNAcentral describes it as "partial contains small subunit ribosomal RNA, internal transcribed spacer 1, and 5.8S ribosomal RNA". The stretch from base 1 to 73 matches the Rfam family "Eukaryotic small subunit ribosomal RNA", at positions 1759 to 1831 of the family's 1831-position model. The record is from RNAcentral. Lineage: Eukaryota; Fungi.